Acanthosepion pharaonis is the source of this 107-nucleotide non-coding RNA. The record is from the annotation of a GenBank genome assembly. Lineage: Eukaryota; Metazoa; Mollusca; Cephalopoda; Sepiida; Sepiidae.
UUACGGUCAUAUCAUGUUGAAUGUUACGGUGCUCGUCCAAUCAUUGAAGUUAAGCGACGUCGAGCUUGGUCAGUACUAAGAUGGGAAACCCCUUGGCAAUUCCAGGU